Molecule: long non-coding RNA, 493 nt
Organism: Gossypium arboreum
Lineage: Eukaryota; Viridiplantae; Streptophyta; Magnoliopsida; Malvales; Malvaceae
Exons: 2
Source: RefSeq, a predicted model, not a curated record
AAAAUGUAUAACAUAUCUCAUACUUUGUACAUAACUAGCUCAUCUUCAUAUAAUCAAUUCUUAGUUAUAUCUCUCAAUAGUUUGCAAACAAUGGCUUCUUGUGGCAUUGCUUCUUGUUUCGUGAUUUUGAUUGCAACAUUUUGUGUAUUGAACUCAGAAGCAUGUACUCACGACUCAGAGUGUCAAUUGAAUUGUGAACAUCUCGACCUUUGUGACUUAAAAACCAAAAAAUGUAGUUGCUUGCCAGUAUUUGAGCCACUACCAUCCAAUGAUGCUAAAUGCAGCAAAGAUUCAGACUGCGCCAAGCCAUGUGGACAAGGUUGCAAACACUAUAACUGUGUGCGCGGCUAUUGUUUGUGCCAUUGUACUGCAUAAAAAAUAUACUGUUUUCUUUCAGAGGCUCCAAUUUUAGGCCUUUCAAUAAUUUGUACUAAAAAUUAGUGAAUAAAAAUGGGUGUAAAAAGAAUUAAUUUGCUUUUUGUUAUACUAAAAA